UCUUAUCAAGAGAGGUGGAGGGACUGGCCCUAUGAAACCCGGCAACCUGUUUUACAAGGUGCUAAUUCCUGAGUUUUAACUAGAGAUAA
RNAcentral lists this non-coding RNA (89 nucleotides) under Peptoniphilus obesi. RNAcentral's name for it is "SAM riboswitch (S box leader)". It matches the Rfam family "SAM riboswitch aptamer (S box leader)". From Rfam's summary of the family: The SAM riboswitch is found upstream of a number of genes which code for proteins involved in methionine or cysteine biosynthesis in Gram-positive bacteria. The SAM riboswitch acts at the level of transcription termination control. The predicted structure consists of a complex stem-loop region followed by a single stem loop terminator region. The record is from RNAcentral. Lineage: Bacteria; Bacillati; Bacillota; Tissierellia; Tissierellales; Peptoniphilaceae.